CGCCUGGGGAGUACGGGUGAGGUAACGGCUCACCAAGGCAUCGACGGGUAGCUGGUCUGAGAGGACGAUCAGCCACACUGGGACUGAGACACGGCCCAGACUCCUACGGGAGGCAGCAGUAGGGAAUCUUGCGCAAUGGGCGAAAGCCUGACGCAGCAACGCCGCGUGGGGGAUGAAUGCCUUCGGGUUGUAAACCCCUUUCAGCAGGGACGAAAAUGACGGUACCUGCAGAAGAAGCUCCGGCCAACUACGUGCCAGCAGCCGCGGUAAUACGUAGGGUGCAAGCGUUGUCCGGAUUUAUUGGGCGUAAAGAGCUCGUAGGCGGUUCAGUUAGUCGGGUGUGAAAACUCUGGGCUCAACCCAGAGACGCCACUCGAUACUGCUGUGACUAGAGUGCGGUAGGGGAGCGGGGAAUUCCUAGUGUAGCGGUGAAAUGCGCAGAUAUUAGGAGGAACACCAGUGGCGAAGGCGCCGCUCUGGGCCGUAACUGACGCUGAGGAGCGAAAGCGUGGGUAGCAAACAGGAUUAGAUACCCUGGUAGUCCACGCCGUAAACGUUGGGCACUAGGUGUGGGUCUCAACCAACGAGAUCCGCGCCGUCGCUAACGCAUUAAGUGCCCCGCCUGGGGAGUACGG
This 635-nucleotide ribosomal RNA is filed under the name uncultured Actinomycetes bacterium. RNAcentral describes it as "bacterial SSU rRNA". It matches the Rfam family "Bacterial small subunit ribosomal RNA", at positions 234 to 885 of the family's 1533-position model. The record is from RNAcentral. Lineage: Bacteria; Bacillati; Actinomycetota; Actinomycetes.